UACGGAGGGUGCGAGCGUUGUUCGGAAUCACUGGGCGUAAAGCGCGUGUAGGCGGCCCACUAAGUCUGAUGUGAAAGCCCGGGGCUCACCCCCGGAAGUGCAUUGGAAACUGGUGGACUCGAGUCCCGGAGAGGAGAGUGGAAUUCCUGGUGUAGCGGUGAAAUGCGCAGAUAUCGGGAAGAACACCCGUGGCGAAGGCGGCUCUCUGGGACGGUACUGACGCUGAGACGCGAAAGCGUGGGGAGCGAACAGG
This 253-nucleotide ribosomal RNA is filed under the name uncultured bacterium. RNAcentral's name for it is "partial 16S ribosomal RNA". It matches the Rfam family "Bacterial small subunit ribosomal RNA", at positions 524 to 776 of the family's 1533-position model. The record is from RNAcentral.